Molecule: ribosomal RNA, 292 nt
Filed under: uncultured bacterium
Lineage: Bacteria
Description: partial 16S ribosomal RNA
Rfam family: Bacterial small subunit ribosomal RNA
Source: RNAcentral
GUGCCAGCCGCCGCGGUAAUACAGAGGUCCCAAGCGUUGUUCGGAUUCACUGGGCGUAAAGGGUGCGUAGGCGGUCGGGUAAGUCUGAUGUGAAAUCUCAGAGCUCAACUCUGAAACUGCAUUGGAUACUAUUCGGCUUGAGGUCUGGAGGGGGGACUGGAAUUCUCGGUGUAGCAGUGAAAUGCGUAGAUAUCGAGAGGAACACCAGUGGCGAAGGCGAGUCCCUGGACAGAUCCUGACGCUGAGGCACGAAAGCUAGGGGAGCAAACAGGAUUAGAAACCCGUGUAGUCC